Molecule: ribosomal RNA, 442 nt
Filed under: uncultured bacterium
Lineage: Bacteria
Description: bacterial SSU rRNA
Rfam family: Bacterial small subunit ribosomal RNA
Source: RNAcentral
UACGGAAGGCAGCAGUGGGGAAUAUUGCACAAUGGGCGCAAGCCUGAUGCAGCCAUGCCGCGUGUAUGAAGAAGGCCUUCGGGUUGUAAAGUACUUUCAGUCGUGAGGAAGGUGUUAAGGUUAAUAACCUUAGCAAUUGACGUUAGCGACAGAAGAAGCACCGGCUAACUCCGUGCCAGCAGCCGCGGUAAUACGGAGGGUGCGAGCGUUAAUCGGAAUUACUGGGCGUAAAGGGCACGCAGGCGGUUAAUUAAGUUGGAUGUGAAAUCCCCGGGCUUAACCUGGGAAUGGCAUUCAAGACUGGUUAGCUAGAGUCUUGUAGAGGGGGUAGAAUUCCAUGUGUAGCGGUGAAAUGCGUAGAGAUGUGGAGGAAUACCGGUGGCGAAGGCGGCCCCUGGGACAAAGGACUGACGCUCAUGUGCGAAAGCGUGGGGAGCAAACG